Molecule: transfer RNA, 64 nt
Filed under: uncultured Entomomonas sp.
Lineage: Bacteria; Pseudomonadati; Pseudomonadota; Gammaproteobacteria; Pseudomonadales; Pseudomonadaceae
Rfam family: tRNA
About the family: Transfer RNA (tRNA) molecules are approximately 80 nucleotides in length.
Source: RNAcentral
GGCGUAGCUCAAUUGGUAGAGCACAGGAUUGUGAUUCCUGUUGUCGUGGGUUCGAUUCCCAUCG